GAUGAACGCUGGCGGCGUGCCUAAUACAUGCAAGUCGAGCGAACAGACGAGGAGCUUGCUCCUCUGACGUUAUCGGCGGACGGGUGAGUAACACGUGGAUAACCUACCUAUAAGACUGGGAUAACUUCGGGAAACCGGAGCUAAUACCGGAUAAUAUAUUGAACCGCAUGGUUCAAUAGUGAAAGACGGUUUUGCUGUCACUUAUAGAUGGAUCCGCGCCGCAUUAGCUAGUUGGUAAGGUAACGGCUUACCAAGGCAACGAUGCGUAGCCGACCUGAGAGGGUGAUCGGACACACUGGAACUGAGAAACGGUCCAGACUCCUACGGGAGGCAGCAGUAGGGAAUCUUCCGCAAUGGGCGAAAGCCUGACGGAGCAACGCCGCGUGAGUGAUGAAGGUCUUCGGAUCGUAAAACUCUGUUAUUAGGGAAGAACAAAUGUGUAAGUAACUAUGCACGUCUUGACGGUACCUAAUCAGAAAGCCACGGCUAACUACGUG
RNAcentral lists this ribosomal RNA (497 nucleotides) under uncultured bacterium. RNAcentral describes it as "partial 16S ribosomal RNA". It matches the Rfam family "Bacterial small subunit ribosomal RNA", at positions 28 to 507 of the family's 1533-position model. The record is from RNAcentral.